RNA transcript from Camponotus floridanus (Florida carpenter ant), 3093 nucleotides. It is a transcript of the gene named hrp65 protein, with no coding region annotated. The record is from RefSeq and is a predicted model, not a curated record. NCBI's taxonomy places the organism in Eukaryota, Metazoa, Arthropoda, Insecta, Hymenoptera, Formicidae. The transcript has 14 exons.
CUCGUCGUUCCCUCUUCGUUGUCGGACGCCGCGGUGUGCGUUUCUUCCGCACGGGGACCCUCGAUCGCGACAGGAGACGACGGAGAGGACGCUCGGACGACCAUGGCCGGAACGGAGACCCCGAACGUCAAGUCGGAACCGGCGAACGCGCCGGCUGAAAACAGCAAUGAGAAUCCGCGCGAGCGGAAUCCACCAGGAGGUGGCGGCGGCGGCGGCGGCGGCAACCGCGGCCCUCGCGGCCGAAAGGGCGGCACGCGUUUCUCGAGCCGCGGCGGCGGUGGAGGCGGAGGAAUGGGUGGCGGUCUGGGAGGCGGCGGCGGCGGCGGCAGGAACGAGACGAUGAAAAUGAGCGAUUCCAUGGAUGGAGGAAUAGAUAACCCUAUAUCUGAAGGAAUAGGAGGAAUGGGUGGAAUGGGAGGUGGAAUGGGAGGUGGUAUGGGAAUGGGCCGUGGCGGUGGAAUGCGAGGAGGCGUAAGAGGUGGUGGUCGUGGUACUGGUGACAGAAAUAUGGCCAAUAGAUCGCAAGACGAUCGAUUGAUGGAACGAGUCAUGGCUAUCGGUGGACCCACUCAUGAAUUACCUCUACAGGAUACAACAGAAAAGAAAUUUAGCGGUAGAAAUCGUUUGUAUAUUGGAAACUUAACAAACGAUGUAACCGAAGAAGAAAUACAGACCAUGUUCCAAAAAUAUGGAGAAAUUUCGGAACUAUUUGUAAAUAAAGAGAAAAGUUUUGCGUUUCUUAGAAUGGAUUAUAAAGCAAAUGCUGACACAGCAAAAAGGGAAUUGGAUGGUACAAUGCGUAAAGGUCGGGCAUUAAAAGUACGCUUCGCUCCUCAUUCAUCGACAAUUAAAGUGAAAAAUCUUACACCUUGGACAUCUAAUGAACUUCUCGAGAGAGCUUUUGGAGUAUUCGGCGAAAUUGAACGUGCGAUAGUUAAAGUUGACGAAAGAGGCAAAACUACCGGCGAAGGAAUUGUCGAAUUUUGUCGAAAACCAUCUGCUCAGCUGGCUCUGAGGAAAUGUACGGAAGGUUGCUACUUUGUCACGGCUUCUCUUCGACCAGUGGUUGUGGAACUGUUUGAACAGCAAGAUGACGUGGAUGGGUAUCCUGACAAGAAUCUGCCACGCAAGAAUCCAGAAUUUUUCAAAGCACGUGAGAUUGGGCCGCGCUUUGCGCAAUUAGGAAGCUUUGAGCAUGAAUAUGGUACACGGUGGAAACAAUUGCACGAACUGUACAAGCAGAAAGAAGAAGCAUUGAAACGAGAAAUGGCGAUGGAAGAAGAGAAAUUAGAAGCUCAGAUGGAAUUUGCCAGAUACGAACACGAGACGGAACUUUUGAGAGAACAAUUGCGUAUGCGCGAAGCGGAUCGUGAGAGACAAAAAAGAGAAUGGGAAAUGAAAGAACGACAAGCUGAGGAACAAAGGACUCGCGAGGAAGAGUUAAGACGUCGUCAGCAAGAAGAGAUGGCAAUCCGUAUUAGGAGACAAGAAGAGGAAUUACAUAGGCGUCAACAAGAAAAUAAUUUGUUUAUGCAGGAGCAGGCAAUCCGAAGUGGAAGUGGAAAAAAUUACGAUUCUGUUAGCAACAAUGAUCGUGAUGGAUAUGGUCAACCUGAUGGUGGAAGCGGCAUGCCAGUGAUUAGCGCACCAGCUGGUUGAACAGAAAAAGGAUUCCUCAGAAAUAUAGUCUGAUAUCUUGAAACUACGUCCAUGCUUGACGUUUUUACACGAAGUACGUAAUACCUGGCUCGUAUAUGUUCAAGGUCCGUAAUGAAAAGGAAAGAAUGCAAAUUGUGAUACUUGGGACAUAUCAAUUAUAAUUAAGAGGUCCAUAAUGAAGUGAAGAAAGCGCAAAUUGAGAUGAUACAUGGAACAUAUCAAUUAUAAUUAAAGGGAUUACGAGGCACUCAGAAAUAUUUUCGUUAAUAAAUCGAAGAAAGCAUUUGUUACAGUGAUGCAAUGAAGCGAAGGGAACGAAACUGAUAAUUCAAAAAUAAUACUAAUUUUUUUAUAUCUAAAUAAAAAGCAUUUCUUUAUUAAUAUUAAUAAUAAUGUGUUAAAACCAGUUUAUUCUAUUAUAUUUAUCUUCAAAUUACCAUGCAAUUUAAUUCACAUGUUACAACGCAACGCAUAAUUAUUUAGGGAAGUAGAUUGAUACGUCAAGAUAAAAUUUAAGAUAAAAGAGGGGAGGUAGAAGAAAAAUCUAAUAAAAUGUAUAUCGUGAAAAAAGCUUUGACAACAUUUUAUUGUUAACCGCAGAAAAAGCCAUAUACACUUUCACACAAAAUCGAUCAUAGUUCGAUAAUAAUAUCGAAAAAUUUAUAAUAAUUGAAAUGUACAUAAAUAUAAAGACGACGACGAUGUUGCACGUUCUUCUCGUGUGUAUGUGUGUGUACCAGAACUGUACAAAAAUGAUCUUUCGCAAACGCACUCUGUGUCGAAUAACUUAUUUGGUGAUGUUAUUCAGGGCUACCAUAUAUUUAUAUAUAAUUCCUCUUUCUUUUUUUCUUUUAUCUUAAUUAAAUUACGAUGCAAGUUGCAAGUUCCGAGGUGCGCUUUUAUUAAAUUUCACAGAGUUUUGACUUCAUGUAUGAGAUGCGAUAUAUUUAAAAUCGAAUACACGGCCGGAGCGGGUGGAAGGAACGAUUUUUGGUGUUUUGCGCUUCUAUAAAUCUAUCUAAAUCCUAUGUACUUUUAGCCGCGACGGUCAAGUGCCAUAUAAUAUAUAUAUGUAUUUUUUUUUUAUUUAUUUAUUGGUACUAUCCGAACGCAGCACGCACUCUUGUUUUCACUUUUCGCGAAUUAAUACAGAUCACUGAACUUUAUAUACUGGAACGCGCACUGUGUGUGUAUUAUGUGUGUGAGUGUGUGUGUGUGGGUGGGUGGGUAAACGAGUCAAAAGAGAUGGCUCUUCAUCGGUAUAACUUUCUAAUAAAUUUUCCUUUAGCAUCCGUAAAGAUAUGACUUAUAACGAACACUCUAAUUAAAACUUUUAACAGAGCUUGUACGAAGCUUUCAGCAUCCUUGAAGGAUAGAGGCGUACCUUUUUCCUCUUUUGCCUCGUUUUUUUCCAUACAAGAAGUACAUGGGAAA